RNAcentral lists this ribosomal RNA (737 nucleotides) under uncultured eukaryote. RNAcentral's name for it is "bacterial SSU rRNA". It matches the Rfam family "Eukaryotic small subunit ribosomal RNA", at positions 984 to 1735 of the family's 1831-position model. The record is from RNAcentral.
GGCUUGUCAGAGGUUCGAAGGCGAUCAGAUACCGCCCUAGUUCUAACUAUAAACUAUGCCAACCAGCAAUCAGCUGGGGUCGUUUACCGAUUCCAUGCUGGACGCUUGCCCGGGAAACCAGAGUUUCUGGGUUCCGGGGGGAGUAUGGUUGCAAAGCUGAAACUUAAAGGAAUUGACGGAAGGGCACCACCAGGAGUGGAGCCUGCGGCUUAAUUUGACUCAACACGGGGAAGCUUACCCGGUCCGGACACUUUGACGAUUGACAGAUUGAGAGCUCUUUCUUGAUAAAGUGGUUGGUGGUGCAUGGCCGUUCUUAGUUCGUGGAGUGAUUUGUCUGGUUAUUUCCGAUAACGAACGAGACUCUAGCUUACUAAAUAGUCCGUGCGGCUGCGGCCGACACGGUGUUACUUCUUAGAAGGAUUUAUGGCGGUUCAGUCAUAAGAAAGAGAGCAAUAACAGGUCUGUGAUGCCCUUAGAUGUCCGGGGCCGCACGCGCGCUACACUGGAGCCCACAGUGAGCGUGCUACUUGCGUCGAAAGGCGUGAGGAAUCUCGUAAGCUUCUCCGUAUCUGGGAUUGCGGCAUGUAAUUGUGCCGCGUGAACGCGGAAUCUCGAGUAAGUGCCAAUCAUCAUUUCGCAUUGAUUACGUCCCUGCCCUUUGUACACACCGCCCGUCGCUACUACCGAUUGACUCGUCCAGUGAGGCAUCGGGACGGGCGCGGUGAGCUGUCUUCGGA